GUGGCAUAACAUCGUGGCCACAAGUUAAUUUUUUUCUGUUUAGUAUUAAAUUUAUAUUAAGAUCCAUUUUGUUACAUCUUGUGAUCAAUUUUAUUUGGCAAUCGCCAAUGGCAGUCAGCAGGGUUAAAGAACAUCAGUUGUUCGACCUGUUAGUCAAAUGCGUUUUGUUUAAAUAUACUUUUUCACUUUUUUGGUCUUUUGGAAAAUGUUGUUUGUGCUGUUUUUAGACCCUUCUACAACGAAAUUUGUUUUAUAUGCACACGUAUAAAAAAAUGCUGUUUUUAUCCAACACAAUCAGGUUUGAACGUAGUUUUCAGUUUUCA
This 323-nucleotide long non-coding RNA is filed under the name Mytilus galloprovincialis (Mediterranean mussel). The record is from RNAcentral. Lineage: Eukaryota; Metazoa; Mollusca; Bivalvia; Mytilida; Mytilidae.